CGUGCCCCUUCCAUGCCCAAGUUUUCCUUCCAUGCCAACCUCUCUUGGUUUAAGAUUUGGAUUAGGAUGAAAUCAAAUUCAAAAGGGUUUUGAAUUUGACAUGAAUCCUUAUGAGAUAAGGAUUAACCUUAUCCUUCUUGGAUGCCAUCUACUAAAAGGCUCCUCUCUUGUGCAUGAAAACUGAUGAAAAACCAGAUUUUAGCAUGUAA
RNAcentral lists this long non-coding RNA (209 nucleotides) under Elaeis guineensis (African oil palm). Its description in RNAcentral is "long non-coding RNA (EGUI_LNC061546)". The record is from RNAcentral. Lineage: Eukaryota; Viridiplantae; Streptophyta; Magnoliopsida; Arecales; Arecaceae.